ACGGGAGGCAGCAGUGGGGAAUAUUGCGCAAUGGGGGAAACCCUGACGCAGCAACGCCGCGUGAGUGAAGAAGUAUUUCGGUAUGUAAAGCUCUAUCAUCGGGGACGAGACUGACGGUACCCGAAUAAGAAGUCCCGGCUAACUACGUGCCAGCAGCCGCGGUAAUACGUAGGGGACAAGCGUUAUCCGGAUUUACUGGGUGUAAAGGGUGCGUAGGCGGCAAAGCAAGUCAGAAGUGAAAGCCCGCGGCUCAACUGCGGGACUGCUUUUGAAACUGUUUAGCUAGAGUACUGGAGGGGCAAGCGGAAUUCCUGGUGUAGCGGUGAAAUGCGUAGAUAUUAGGAGGAACACCAGUGGCGAAGGCGGCUUGCUGGACGAAAACUGACGCUGAGGCGCGAAAGCGUGGGGAGCAAACAGGAUUAGAUACCCUGGUA
This 434-nucleotide ribosomal RNA is filed under the name uncultured Clostridium sp. Its description in RNAcentral is "partial 16S ribosomal RNA". It matches the Rfam family "Bacterial small subunit ribosomal RNA", at positions 341 to 792 of the family's 1533-position model. Lineage: Bacteria; Bacillati; Bacillota; Clostridia; Eubacteriales; Clostridiaceae. The record is from RNAcentral.